Molecule: ribosomal RNA, 438 nt
Filed under: uncultured bacterium
Lineage: Bacteria
Description: partial 16S ribosomal RNA
Rfam family: Bacterial small subunit ribosomal RNA
Source: RNAcentral
CUACGGGUUGCUGCAGUGAGGAAUAUUGCACAAUGGGGGGAACCCUGAUGCAGCAACGCCGCGUGGAGGAUGACGCAUUUCGGUGUGUAAACUCCUUUUAUAUGUCAAGAAAAUGACGGUAGCAUAUGAAUAAGCACCGGCUAACUCCGUGCCAGCAGCCGCGGUAAUACGGAGGGUGCAAGCGUCACGCGGAAUCACUGGGCGUAAGGACGCGUAGGCGGGUUGGAAAGUCAGGUGUGAAAUCCUACAGCUUAACUGUAGAACUGCACUUGAAACUUCUAAUCUAGAGUAUGGGAGGGGGAGAUGGAAUUAGUGGUGUAGGGGUAAAAUCCGUAGAUAUCACUAGGAAUACCUAAAGCGAAGGCGAUCUCCUGGAACAUUACUGACGCUAAGGCGUGAAAGCGUGGGGAGCAAACAGGAUUAGAUACCCUUGUAGUC